UGGCACCCAGAGUGGGGCACCUGGCACAGAGGAUCCAACAAGGGAGCCAUCUGGGGAUGCGCGCGUAAAAAGGAAACUAAGAGUUUUGUGACCAAUGCUACGUGGGAGCCUGCCAUGCCGCUCAAGUCACGGUAAGUGGACAGCGAUCCUUUCCCCUUUUUUUCUGGCAUGGGUCAAGCAUUAAGUGAUCACAAACUUUUCGUGGGAGGUCUAAGUAAGGCAUUAAAGACAAGAGGGAUUAAGGCUAAAAAAAAGAUUUAUUACAAUAUUUUCAAUUUAUUCAUAAGGUUUGCCCUU
Cavia porcellus (domestic guinea pig) is the source of this 297-nucleotide regulatory RNA element. It matches the Rfam family "Mason-Pfizer monkey virus packaging signal". From Rfam's summary of the family: The packaging signal is located in the 5' UTR and is required for specific RNA encapsidation. NCBI's taxonomy places the organism in Eukaryota, Metazoa, Chordata, Mammalia, Rodentia, Caviidae. The record is from Rfam.